This 576-nucleotide small RNA is filed under the name Pongo abelii (Sumatran orangutan). RNAcentral's name for it is "retained intron". Lineage: Eukaryota; Metazoa; Chordata; Mammalia; Primates; Hominidae. The record is from RNAcentral.
GUGCAAGUGGAGCUGUGCUUUGCUUACAACCAGAGUGCCGGGAACCCCAACUACAGGCGAAACAUCAGUGAGUGCUGGGGUGCAGCGUAAAAGGGGUACGCUCCCCUGUCCCCUUGCUGACCACCCUGUCUACCUGUAGCCCUGGCCUACACUCUGGAGGCCGACAGGGACCGCCGCCCGCCCCGGCUCCGCUUUGCCGGCAGUGAGUCCGCUGUCUUCCACGGCUUCUUCUCCAUGCCGGAAAUGCGCUGCCAGAAGCUGGAGCUGCUCCUGAUGGACAACCUCCGUGACAAACUCCGCCCCAUCAUCAUCUCCAUGAACUAUUCUUUACCUUUGCGGAUGCCCGAUCGCCCCCGGCUGGGGCUGCGGUCCCUGGACGCCUACCCGAUCCUCAACCAGGCACAGGCUCUGGAGAACCACACUGAGGUCCAGUUCCAGAAGGAGUGCGGGCCUGACAACAAGUGUGAGAGCAACUUGCAGAUGCGGGCAGCCUUCGUGUCAGAGCAGCAGCAGAAGCUGAGCAGGUGGCUGUGGGCCGCCGGCCGAGUUAAUCGGCCAAGGGUGGGACGGGGCCUC